RNAcentral lists this long non-coding RNA (362 nucleotides) under Jatropha curcas. Its description in RNAcentral is "long non-coding RNA (JCUR_LNC002480)". Lineage: Eukaryota; Viridiplantae; Streptophyta; Magnoliopsida; Malpighiales; Euphorbiaceae. The record is from RNAcentral.
AAGAAGAUACCAUACUGCAUAAACCAUCAGCAAACCCUCCGAAAAAACCACCACCCCAAGGUCCUCCAAAUCCAGGACCCGGACCCCAUGGCCCUCCAGGACCCGGACCCCCCCAGCCAGGACCGCCAGGACCGCCAGGACCAGGUCCCCAGCCUGGGCCUCCCGGACCGCCUGGUCCAGGUCCUCCAGGACCUCCUGGUCCAGGGCCUCCAGGACCUCCUGGUCCGCCAAACAUUGGUACCUUCUUACCUUGUUACUCUACUGUAUUGAAUUAUCUCAGCCACACUCUAACACAAGGAGUUCUUCUUGAGCUUGGAAAUGCAAAAUUUGGAAAAUAAGAUCCAACGAGAAGACAAUCACCC